RNAcentral lists this transfer RNA (76 nucleotides) under Cordylochernes scorpioides. RNAcentral describes it as "tRNA-Thr". It matches the Rfam family "tRNA". Rfam says of the family: Transfer RNA (tRNA) molecules are approximately 80 nucleotides in length. Their secondary structure includes four short double-helical elements and three loops (D, anti-codon, and T loops). Further hydrogen bonds mediate the characteristic L-shaped molecular structure. tRNAs have two regions of fundamental functional importance: the anti-codon, which is responsible for specific mRNA codon recognition, and the 3' end, to which the tRNAs corresponding amino acid is attached (by aminoacyl-tRNA synthetases). tRNAs cope with the degeneracy of the genetic code in two manners: having more than one tRNA (with a specific anti-codon) for a particular amino acid; and 'wobble' base-pairing, i.e. permitting non-standard base-pairing at the 3rd anti-codon position. Lineage: Eukaryota; Metazoa; Arthropoda; Arachnida; Pseudoscorpiones; Chernetidae. The record is from RNAcentral.
UCCAGGGUAGCCUAGUGGACAAUGGCAUCUGCCCGGUAAGCGGAACACUGUGGGGGUUCGAUUCCCAUCCCUGGAC